This 210-nucleotide long non-coding RNA is filed under the name Musa acuminata (dwarf banana). RNAcentral's name for it is "long non-coding RNA (MACU_LNC007160)". The record is from RNAcentral. Lineage: Eukaryota; Viridiplantae; Streptophyta; Magnoliopsida; Zingiberales; Musaceae.
GCAUGUAAUGCCUCCCCAAGGUUUUCCAACGGCUAUAUAUGAGUAUUCCACUCUUUGAUACCGCAGUUAUAGGUCUGAAAGUUCUAGAUCUAGUAUAGUCGGUCAUCUAAAGUGGUAGUCAAUCUUAUGAAGGCGAUUGAGUGUCGAUAGAAGAUCAUCUGCUCUCGGUGUCAUGAAAGGAAUGUCUCAAGUGUUCUCGCUUAGGCAAAU